AGCCCAACAGCUAGCCUACCCAUUCAAAAACAACACCCAAACAUAAAUAACCCCAAAUACAUCAAAAAGCCAAAACAAACCAUUUUUCCACUCUAGUAUAGGAGAUAGAAAAAGAUCGCAGAGCAAUAGAAAAAGUACCGCAAGGGAAAGCUGAAAGAGAAAUGAAAAAACCCAGUCAAGCUAGAAAAAGCAGAGAUUACCCCUCGUACCUUUUGCAUCAUGAUUUAGCUAGUACUCUUAAGCAAAAAGAAUUUUAGUUUAAACCCCCGAAACUAAGUGAGCUACUCCAGGACAGCCUAUUAACAGGGCACACCCGUCUCUGUGGCAAAAGAGUGGGAGGAUCCUCGAGUAGAGGUGAUAAACCUACCGAACUUAGUUAUAGCUGGUUGCCUGGGAAAUGGAUAGAAGUUCAGCCCUCUAGACCUCUUUUUUCAAAUCAUAUUAAACUCCCCGAUCCAAAGAGCCCUAAAGGAGUUAGUCACAGGGGGUACAGCCCCUGUGACACAAGACACAACUUUAUCAGGAGGAUUAAGAUCAAGUUCAACCAAGGUGCUAUGUUUAGGUGGGCCUAAAAGCAGCCACCCCAACCGAAAGCGUUAAAGCUCAAACAUUCAGCCUCCUCUAAUCCCGAUAAUAAACUCUAAGUCCCCUAAAAAUACCAGGCCUUCCUAUGCAAACAUAGGAAUGAUUAUGCUAAUAUGAGUAAUAAGAAAGUAAAUGACUUUCUCCAAGCACAAGUGUACAUCGGAACGAACCCACACCGAACAUUAACGGCCCCAACCAAAGAGGGAAAUGACAAUAAUAGAGAUCACAAGAAAAACGCUCAGACAAAAACCGUUAACCCCACACUGGAGUGCCCUUUAAGGAAAAACUAAAAGGAAAAGAAGGAACUCGGCAAACACAAGCCUCGCCUGUUUACCAAAAACAUCGCCUCUUGCAACACAAUGUAUAAGAGGUCCCGCCUGCCCUGUGACUAUACGUUUAACGGCCGCGGUAUUUUGACCGUGCGAAGGUAGCGCAAUCACUUGUCUCUUAAAUGGGGACCUGUAUGAAUGGCAUAACGAGGGUUUAACUGUCUCCUUUUCCAAGUUAAUGAAAUUGAUCUCCCCGUGCAGAAGCGGGGAUACAAACAUAAGACGAGAAGACCCUAUGGAGCUUUAGGCAGCAAACAGAUCGUACUAAAUAUCCCCUAAUAAAGGAACGAAGCAUACGAAACCUGGCCCAAUGCCUUUGGUUGGGGCGACCACGGGGAAACAAAAAACCCCCAUGUGGAACGGGACUACCCAUCCUCCAAACAAGAGCCCCCGCUCUAAAAAACAGAACAUCUGACCUACAAGAUCCGGCAGAGCCGAUCAACGAACCGAGUUACCCUAGGGAUAACAGCGCAAUCCCCUUAUAGAGCCCAUAUCGACAAGGGGGUUUACGACCUCGAUGUUGGAUCAGGAUAUCCUAAUGGUGCAGCCGCUAUUAAGGGUUCGUUUGUUCAACGAUUAAAAUCCUACGUGAUCUGAGUUCAGACCGGAGUAAUCCAGGUCGGUUUCUAUCUAUGCCGCAAUCCUUUUUCAGUACGAAAGGACCAAAAAGAAGGGGCCCCUGUUAAAAACACGCCUCACCCCAACUCGCUGCCCCCAACUUAAGCGAAUAAUGGGACGCUCAAACCUCGUUAGAGAGUAUAACAU
RNAcentral lists this ribosomal RNA (1679 nucleotides) under Xenobalistes tumidipectoris. RNAcentral describes it as "16S rRNA". The stretch from base 96 to 1565 matches the Rfam family "Bacterial large subunit ribosomal RNA". Lineage: Eukaryota; Metazoa; Chordata; Actinopteri; Tetraodontiformes; Balistidae. The record is from RNAcentral.